This is a long non-coding RNA of Arabidopsis lyrata subsp. lyrata, 1484 nucleotides long. RefSeq lists it as uncharacterized. The transcript has 2 exons. NCBI's taxonomy places the organism in Eukaryota, Viridiplantae, Streptophyta, Magnoliopsida, Brassicales, Brassicaceae. The record is from RefSeq and is a predicted model, not a curated record.
CAUUCAAAAAAAAAAAAAAAAAAAAAAAAAAGGAGGAGGAUACGACACUUAUGAGAAUUGAUUUUCAAUUUCAAAGUCAAAAGAAUUAUUCCACCGUAAUUGUCGUUGAUUGAUUUUGUUGUUACAAAACCUAAUAUUAAAGGAGAUAUUUAUUGAUUUAAUUAACAAAUUUAAUCAAAACAACUUAGGAAAAUAAGAAUAAUCUUAUGGCUUAUAAGCCCAUUUCCCAUUUCCCAUUUCUCAAAUCCCAAAUACAGCCCAUGUGUAAUUGGGUUUCUCUUUAACUUCCAAAGUAGGUCAUUUGAUUCUAAGUCAAAAUUCCAAGCUUUACAAACUACCCACUUCGACAUCCAUUUCUCAUUCAUACGAACUUCGUUUUUGACAUUCAAAUACACUACCGUAUAAUGCACGCAGCGACGAUUACAUCUUGCCCAAGAACCGGUCAUUCCGAUGAACGUCUUCACCGGAAAGUGAUCAAAACCACUUUGUCAAAAAACAAGUUCCAACAUAUCCCACGUUCCAACACGGUUAAUAUCCAACGAAUGACACAAACUGGAUCAACAUCAGGUCCACACUUGAAAGAGAACUUAUUUGGAGUAGAAUUUGCUUGCAAAGCCAAUACUCUAUCCACGAAAUCUGUAAACAUUCUAUGAAUCUCAUCCUUUUUUGCUUUACCCUCUUCAAUAUGCAGAUAUACCGAGGAGUAAUCAAACUCAAGAUUUGGUGUGAAAGCAAAGAGAUACCGCCAUUUUUUCGAGAGAAGCGAUGUUAAAGCAGCUUCUUUUGUGGGAAGACAAGACAAGAUUUGGCAAAUAAGAGGUUCUGGUAGAGUGCUGAUUAUAUCUUUGGAACCAAAAUCCAUCUUUUUCGAUCUAUAGUGACAGAAUCUCAACAGUUAAAACCUAAAAAAAACAUGACAUGAUCAGAGAAUUUCAGAACCUGUUUCAAGGUUUUCAAAGUGUUACAAGCAAAUUUUAGUCAAGGUCAUAUCUGGAGAUUCAAUGGAAGUCCAAUCUCUUUUCUAGGCAAGAACACCAAUCAUGUUCAUUGACUUUACUCUCUCGCCAAGAGCUCAAAUCAACCAGACCAUUCAAGAAUCAUGGACCGCGUUUACCUAAAAUGUAGAAGGCAAUGAAGGUGUGUUUAGCUCCUCGGACUCUUCCACAAUACCGGAACACUAUAUAUGUUGUUGUGUUUGGACCAUGGGAUGAAGUUAGCGUGUGGAAUAUGUCAACCUCGAGGCCGUUGAGGUUCUUCUUGAUUGCAAGGGAACUGAUCGUUGAGCCUGUAGUUCAGCACGCGUCGUUUGUAAUGAAAUUAGCAGGCUGAGAUUGAUAUGACCACUGGGGGCUACCGAAAUGCCAAGAAUGGCUUUAAAAUGGCUUAAGUAUUGGAGGUCAGAGACAGCUAUUUCUAGGUUUUCUUUUUUAUUAUACACAUUGUAGCAGGUUCAUUAAUCAAUUUAUAAACAGCUUCCAUCCAAA